RNAcentral lists this ribosomal RNA (497 nucleotides) under uncultured bacterium. RNAcentral describes it as "partial 16S ribosomal RNA". It matches the Rfam family "Bacterial small subunit ribosomal RNA", at positions 28 to 507 of the family's 1533-position model. The record is from RNAcentral.
GACGAACGCUGGCGGCGUGCCUAAUACAUGCAAGUAGAACGCUGAAGAGAGGAGCUUGCUCUUCUUGGAUGAGUUGCGAACGGGCGAGUAACGCGUAGGUAACCUGCCUUGUAGCGGGGGAUAACUAUUGGAAACGAUAGCUAAUACCGCAUAACAAUGGAUGACACAUGUCAUUUAUUUGAAAGGGGCAAUUGCUCCACUACAAGAUGGACCUGCGUUGUAUUAGCUAGUAGGUGAGGUAAUGGCUCACCUAGGCGGCGAUACAUAGCCGACCUGAGAGGGUGAUCGGCCACACUGGGACUGGGACACGGCCCAGACUCCUACGGGAGGCAGCAGUAGGGAAUCUUCGGCAAUGGGGGCAACCCUGACCGAGCAACGCCGCGUGAGUGAAGAAGGUUUUCGGAUCGUAAAGCUCUGUUGUAAGUCAAGAACGGGUGUGAGAGUGGAAAGUUCACACUGUGACGGUAGCUUACCAGAAAGGGACGGCUAACUACGUG